RNAcentral lists this ribosomal RNA (250 nucleotides) under uncultured bacterium. RNAcentral's name for it is "partial 16S ribosomal RNA". It matches the Rfam family "Bacterial small subunit ribosomal RNA", at positions 524 to 773 of the family's 1533-position model. The record is from RNAcentral.
GACGUAGGAGGCGAGCGUUAUCCGGAUUCACUGGGCGUAAAGCGCAUGUAGGCGGAUGGACAAGUCCUAGGUUAAAGCCCCCCGCUCAACGGGGGGAGGUCCUGGGAGACUGUACGUCUGGAGGGCAGCAGAGGAGCGUGGAACUCCCGGUGUAGCGGUGGAAUGCGUAGAGAUCGGGAAGAACACCAGUGGCGAAGGCGACGCUCUGGGCUGCAUCUGACGCUGAGAUGCGAAAGUGUGGGGAGCAAAC